GACGAACGCUGGCGGCGUGCUUAACACAUGCAAGUCGAACGGAAAGGCCCUGCUUUUUUGGGGUGCUCGAGUGGCGAACGGGGGAGUAACACGUGAGUAACCUGCCCUUGACUUUGGGAUAACUUCAGGAAACUGGGGCUAAUACCGGAUAGGAGCCCCUGCUGCAUGGUGGGGGUUGGAAAGUUUCGGCGGUUGGGGAUGGACUCGCGGCUUAUCAGCUUGUUGGUGGGGUAGUGGCUUACCAAGGCUUUGACGGGUAGCCGGCCUGAGAGGGUGACCGGCCACAUUGGGACUGAGAUACGGCCCAGACUCCUACGGGAGGCAGCAGUGGGGAAUAUUGCACAAUGGGCGGAAGCCUGAUGCAGCAACGCCGCGUGCGGGAUGACGGCCUUCGGGUUGUAAACCGCUUUCGCCUGUGACGAAGCGUGAGUGACGGUAAUGGGUAAAGAAGCACCGGCUAACUACGUG
RNAcentral lists this ribosomal RNA (468 nucleotides) under uncultured bacterium. RNAcentral's name for it is "partial 16S ribosomal RNA". It matches the Rfam family "Bacterial small subunit ribosomal RNA", at positions 28 to 507 of the family's 1533-position model. The record is from RNAcentral.